AUGACUACCGUUCCAGGGUCUCCGGUCUGGGAGCUCGUGAAGAAGAACAACUACUUCUUGAUCAAGCAGUUCGGUAACAACAACACCAAGGUGCAGUCGUCCAACAACAACUUGGUUCUGAUUAUCUUCUUAGUGAUGUUGUCUUGUUCUGCUUCUGAAGUAGUACUCUAUUUAAGAUCACUUAAGAUAUUAUAUAAACAUCAUAUCUCCCGGGUCGUCUCCAACGCCGUUGACAUGAAGCUCAGGGAUGACCUUGAGAGGCUCAAGAAGAUCAGAUGCUUGCACUUCAUAUCAGGACUAGCAGUUUGUAUCUUGCCUGCAUGUGAGCUCUAUGGAUGUUUAUUUACCUGUAACUUCUGCCAGCUCUAUGGAUGGUUAUAUAACAGUUCAACUCAGUCAAAUCUUUGGGGUGUUGAUACACUACUGUGCAAGUUCUAUGGUAUGGAGCUCCGCAUCCGAGUCUCGUCCAUCCUCGGCAGCAAGGAGCUGGGCCAAGGGAGCAAGCAGCGCUGCUGGUUACUUGGGGCCAGAUCGAGUAAGAUGACGCACCAUGGCAUGUGGCGGCGUAUUUUGCUUCCAAGAGCAGUAAUGUUUAUUUGA
Molecule: ribosomal RNA, 600 nt
Filed under: Triticum aestivum (bread wheat)
Lineage: Eukaryota; Viridiplantae; Streptophyta; Magnoliopsida; Poales; Poaceae
Description: partial small subunit ribosomal RNA
Source: RNAcentral